RNAcentral lists this ribosomal RNA (253 nucleotides) under uncultured bacterium. Its description in RNAcentral is "partial 16S ribosomal RNA". It matches the Rfam family "Bacterial small subunit ribosomal RNA", at positions 524 to 776 of the family's 1533-position model. The record is from RNAcentral.
UACGGGGGGGGCAAGCGUUGUUCGGAAUUACUGGGCGUAAAGGGCUCGUAGGCGGCCAACUAAGUCAGACGUGAAAUCCCUCAGCUUAACUGGGGAACUGCGUCUGAUACUGGAUGGCUUGAGUUUGGGAGAGGGAUGCGGAAUUCCAGGUGUAGCGGUGAAAUGCGUAGAUAUCUGGAGGAACACCGGUGGCGAAGGCGGGUCUCUGGACAGUUCCUGACGCUGAGGCACGAAGGUCAGGGGAGCAAACGGG